UUCAGAAGGAGAAAGCAGAGCCCAUUUGUGAGAUCCUGCUAUCACAAAUCCCAAAGUUUGGCCCAAGAUAGAAACCUUUAGAGCUUAUUUGUGAGUGUGGUGCUGUUUCCAGAACAUUAAUGUCUCCACUGUGAGUCUAAAAGGAGAGUGCACUUUGAUUCAUCACUCUGAAACACUUCAAGAUGAUACAGCUAUACUUUCAAUCUCAGCAGGAGAGAAGAGGACACACCUGGAGCAGCCAAUCUGACCUUGGAAAUGGAGACCCUCUACCACUGCAGGCACAGUAGAGACCAUUCUGCACAGUUAAGGGUAGCAGGUGCUCCUUGGGUGUUUAUGAGCACAAUCUUAAAGGAUGUUAAGAUG
Cyanistes caeruleus (blue tit) is the source of this 363-nucleotide non-coding RNA. The record is from RefSeq and is a predicted model, not a curated record. Lineage: Eukaryota; Metazoa; Chordata; Aves; Passeriformes; Paridae.